Cololabis saira (Pacific saury) is the source of this 489-nucleotide long non-coding RNA. RefSeq lists it as uncharacterized. The record is from RefSeq and is a predicted model, not a curated record. Lineage: Eukaryota; Metazoa; Chordata; Actinopteri; Beloniformes; Belonidae. The transcript has 3 exons.
AGUCAGGGAGCGUCAGCCGUGAUUAACCGCGCCUCAGAUCCACAAUCAAUGACCAGAAGAGCAAGUGACAGCUUAAUACAAUGCAAACGAGGACUUGAUUCUGUUACCCGUGACAAGAUGGAGGGACUCUCCGGUUCUCCGGCUGCGUCGCCAUGGAUACGGACACUGCUUUCCGCCCGGGGGAGAAGCCCAUUAUAACCUCCCCCUGUCAACGCUGUAGCAACCUGAAGCAAGACCAUUAUCCGAGUCACCUGGGGGCAGGAAUUUCAUCAUCUGGUUCGUUUGCUCCGGAGAACAAAAAAAGAAGUGUCCCGUUCCUUUUGGUCGACAAUAUCAAGAGGUGGAGAUAAAGAAUGGAUGAGAGGGGUGACAGCAAACAGAGAGACCCAAUUAUAACCCAAGUACAAGGCCCUCUGGGAAUUCUCUACCGCGAUGGCGACUACACACAACGGCGAGGAUGACAUUUCUGGGAGCGAAGGAAUAAAACUU